AACGCACAUUGCGCCCGCCAGUAUUCUGGCGAGCAUGCCUGUUCGAGCGUCAUUACAACUAUCAAGCCUCUAGGCUUGUGUUGGGCCCUGCGGCUGCCCGCAGCUCCCUAAAAGUAGUGGCGGGCUCGCUGUCACACCGAGUGCAGUAGUUUCUCCUCGCAAGGUCGUUACAGCGGGCUCUAGCCGUAAAACACCCUAAACUUUAAGGUUGACCUCGGAUCAGGUAGGAAUACCCGCUGAACUUAA
Molecule: unclassified non-coding RNA, 246 nt
Filed under: uncultured fungus
Lineage: Eukaryota; Fungi
Description: partial contains 5.8S ribosomal RNA, internal transcribed spacer 2, and large subunit ribosomal RNA
Source: RNAcentral